GAUGAACGCUAGCUACAGGCUUAACACAUGCAAGUCGAGGGGCAGCAUGACGGAAGCUUGCUUCUGUUGAUGGCGACCGGCGCACGGGUGAGUAACGCGUAUCCAACCUGCCCAUUACCCGGGGAUAACCUUCCGAAAGGGAGCCUAACACCCGAUGUGGUGCGAUGAUGGCAUCAGAGUUGCACUAAAUGUGAAGGUAAUGGAUGGGGAUGCGUCUGAUUAGGCAGCAGGCGGGGUAACGGCCCACCUGGCCGACGAUCAGUAGGGGUUCUGAGAGGAAGGUCCCCCACACUGGUACUGAGACACGGACCAGACUCCUACGGGAGGCAGCAGUGAGGAAUAUUGGUCAAUGGGCGAGAGCCUGAACCAGCCAAGUAGCGUGCAGGAGGACUGCCCUAUGGGUUGUAAACUGCUUUUAUGAGGGGAUAAAGUUCGCCACGUGUGGCGUUUUGCAGGUACCUCAUGAAUAAGGACCGGCUAAUUCCGUGCCAGCAGCCGCGGUAAUACGGAAGGUCCGGGCGUUAUCCGGAUUUAUUGGGUUUAAAGGGAGCGCACGCCGGCUGUCAAGCGUGACGUGAAAUGCCGCGGCUCAACCGUGUGCAGUGCGUCGCGAACUGGCGGCCUUGAGUGAGUUCGACGCCCGCGGAAUUCGUGGUGUAGCGGUGAAUGCUUAGAUAUCACGAAGAACCCCGAUUGCGAAGGCAGCCCGGCGAAGCCCUUUACUGACGCUAAGGCUCGAAAGGUGCGGGGUAUCGGAACAGGAUUAGAUAUAC
Molecule: ribosomal RNA, 773 nt
Filed under: uncultured bacterium
Lineage: Bacteria
Description: bacterial SSU rRNA
Rfam family: Bacterial small subunit ribosomal RNA
Source: RNAcentral